RNAcentral lists this ribosomal RNA (253 nucleotides) under uncultured bacterium. RNAcentral describes it as "partial 16S ribosomal RNA". It matches the Rfam family "Bacterial small subunit ribosomal RNA", at positions 524 to 776 of the family's 1533-position model. The record is from RNAcentral.
UACGAACUGUGCGAACGUUAUUCGGAAUCACUGGGCUUACAGGGUGCGUAGGCGGCUUGUUAAGUAGGGUGUGAAAGCCCCCGGCUCAACCGGGGAAUUGCGCCCUAAACUGGCGAGCUGGAGUGAGAUAGGGGUGUGUGGAACUUCCGGUGGAGCGGUGAAAUGUGUUGAUAUCGGGAGGAACACCAGUGGCGAAGGCGGCGAUCUGGGAAGAUACUGACGCUGAGGUGCGAAAGCGUGGGGAGCAAACAGG